Small nucleolar RNA from Sphenodon punctatus (tuatara), 84 nucleotides. The record is from Ensembl. Lineage: Eukaryota; Metazoa; Chordata; Lepidosauria; Sphenodontia; Sphenodontidae.
CUGGUUUAUAUGAUGAACAAAACCAAAUCACCAUCUUUCGGCUGAUCUUGAUGAUGAUUUAUUUUCAACCUGAUGAAAAACCAG